This 398-nucleotide ribosomal RNA is filed under the name uncultured marine eukaryote. RNAcentral's name for it is "SSU rRNA". It matches the Rfam family "Eukaryotic small subunit ribosomal RNA", at positions 617 to 1019 of the family's 1831-position model. The record is from RNAcentral.
GGUUAAAAAGCUCGUAGUUGGAUUUCUGUCGAAGGCUACCGGUCCGCUCUAUGAGACGUGAAUCUGUUUAGUCUUUGGCAUCCUCUCGAAGAAGGCUGCUGUGCUUGAGUGCAUGGUGUCGUUUUCGAGACUUUUACUUUGAGGAAAUUAGAGUGUUCGCAGCAGGCAAGCGCCUUGAAUACAUUAGCAUGGAAUAAUAACUUAGGAUCUUGGUUCUAUUUUGUUGGUUUUUAGUUUCGAGAUAAUGGUUAAUAGGGAUAGUUGGGGGCAUUUGUAUUAACGCGUCAGAGGUGGAAUUCUUGGAUUGCGUUACGACAAACUACUGCGAAAGCAUUUGCCAAGGAUGUUUUCAUUGAUCAAGAACGAAAGUAUGGGGAUCGAAGAUGAUUAAUACCGUG